GAGGCACUCAGCUUGGCACUUUAGAGCUUAUUCCAGUCUUUGUUUAUUCCUCCUACACCAAAACAAGGUGCACAGGUAGUGCCUGAGGCUCAAAAACCACAGUGUUCAGUUAUUAGCUCAGAUCACACACCCUGGAAAGCAGAAAAAAAAUUAGCAUGUUUUUGGUGCUUUUUCCUCCCACUGCAUUAUGAAAUUAAUGCAACAUAUGACUACAGGAAGAUUGGCAGGCCUUUGGAUACCAAUCCCAGAACAAUGCUAAAGUUUUAUUCUUUCCAGAAUUCCACCCUGGAGUUUGCUGAGGAAAUGAUAAAUAUUUGUUUAAGGUAUGUAAUCUGUUAGUCUCCAAAGAAAUGAACAAGAGAGUAGUUAAGAACACAUAUUUAUAAAAUAGUGUACUACCAAGAGAGACCGAACUAUAAACUCAGAUUUUACUUACUGACUAAAUUCAGCUAAAUAAAAUGUAUUUGCAGAACUUGCAAAAGAAUACCUGUGCUGGCUUAGCCAGUUCAAGAAGGCUAGAGGAAGACAGAACAAAAAUGCUAUCAAAGACUGAGCUUUGAGGAUCUAGUAAGCAUACAAAAAAACCCCACCAUUUGCAUAGCGUGUGUUGUACCCUGGAAACACUGCUUAAGAAGAACUGCAGUCUGUAAUGGAUGAAUGGCCUUGAAAAAUUGCUUCUAUGAGGCACAAAAGCUAUAAGAAAGAAUUUUCUGCUUAGAAGGAAAUGGCAUGGUUCAGCUUGCUGCAGCAGUCACCAGGAAUCAGUACCUUUUUCUGGAGAUUAGCAUAAAUAACGCCUUGAUCUGCAAUCUUAACAGCCAUACAACUGUGGGAAAACAAGGUUUAGUAACAGCUUUCAGCCCUUGCAAAUGUUAUCAUUGAAAAUGGGAGUGCUGUAGAGUGUUUUGAGGUCUUCCAUGAUGAAAGGUUCUUCAUAAGUAAUACAUUUCCCCAGUAUCUAAGAGGAUAACAGAAACACAUCCUGCUAUUUGGUCUGUAUAGCAAUUGCAUAAAUAUGCAAAGGAUACAAUUGAGAAGUAUGCUCUCCUAGAGCGACAAUUAGCUAAUGCAUCAUACCAUACAAAAUUAUCUUCAUGCAGUUCCUUCUUCACAUGCUAAUGAAAUCAGUCCCCAUUAUUAGCUUUUGAUAUAUUAAAAGCCUACUGUUACAUGAACACAUAAUGAAUAUUAAAGUAUUCAGUGAGGAAGUGGUGCUCCAUGCUUAAAUUUCUUAUACAGUAUCUGUAUUCUGCUGGGUGCAUGGCUAUCAUGUUCAUCUUCUAUAAAUACCCAUUCCGACUUUAUUAGUUCUGGAGAUGCUCUGUGCACAUGCUGGGGAUGGGUGAAGACUUUGCACCUGGUUUUCAUCAUUUAUCAGUGGGUUUACUUUUGAAAAUUCAAGAGAAUAUUGCCAUGGCCCCAGUCAGGCCCUAGGAGUACCACACUAGAUAUACGAAAUUAUACUCUAAAAGGACACAUAGUGGUGGUGGCAUCAUUUUUGUACAUUCUCACUCAAAGUGAAUGACACUGUCAUUAUACAAUUCCUCACUACCUUACAUUAUAGCUGCCACUCAACAGAUCAACACCUGAUCCCUCUGCAGGCAAAACACACAUCAUAACUUCCCCCCC
Long non-coding RNA from Neopsephotus bourkii (Bourke's parrot), 1629 nucleotides. RefSeq lists it as uncharacterized. Lineage: Eukaryota; Metazoa; Chordata; Aves; Psittaciformes; Psittacidae. The transcript has 2 exons. The record is from RefSeq and is a predicted model, not a curated record.